CCUACCCCAUUUUCUACCAACAACCGCCCCCAGAUCCUCUCGAACAUUCCUCUCUUCUAUGAAAGAAACCCUAGCUGCCUCACUCGAAUCCCAGCCCCAGUCUGAGAUUACAUGGAAAUCUUCCAUAUUUCCUUUCCUUUUUUGCACACACAAUGAUUCUUACCAUCUCCUCGACGUUACAGUGUGUUUGGUAUUGAGUUAUUUAUGGAAGUUAAUCAAUACACGUUCGUUCGACUCUGAUUCUGUAUUAUCACCAUAUUAUUGACUUGAUACAUUCACUGCCAGGUUAUAUGGGUCAGUUUUAGUGAGACCUUUAACUAUUUUGGUUCUCCAUCUUGAAUUAGAGUUUGCCUGAUUUUUCUCCUAAUCCGAUUCUAAAUCAAUUUUGCAUCCUCUUAUUUACUUUAUUAUGUUUGAUUGACUUCGUUUCCUUGUUUGUUCAUUUAAUUUUGCUAUUAUAUAAACCCUUCCCCAAUCCCCCUAAAACAGGCAUGAACUACUACUAUUACUCUCUCACUCUCACUUAUUCUACUAUUCUAAACUUAAGACAUUGGCCGACUGAAAGCCAAGGCCACUAAAAUUCAAUUAUUGCUCUUUUCUCAGUGAGAGCACUGCCCGAGGUUCACUUGAAACCCUUGGAAACUCUGACGCAAUGAGAUUUUGGGAGUCCUGCUAUUCUUUCUCUACUACUGCUAACUGAACUACUAUUGGUACUUAAUUUUCUCCUUUACCUCCUUGUUAAUCUGCAAACUAGUGAGUACCUUGACUCUUGCAAUUCUAUUUUAUUUUGCUUGUGUUCAGUGCUUUGUAUGUCCGUG
Molecule: long non-coding RNA, 818 nt
Filed under: Nicotiana tabacum (common tobacco)
Lineage: Eukaryota; Viridiplantae; Streptophyta; Magnoliopsida; Solanales; Solanaceae
Description: long non-coding RNA (NTAB_LNC019495)
Source: RNAcentral